This 253-nucleotide ribosomal RNA is filed under the name uncultured bacterium. RNAcentral's name for it is "partial 16S ribosomal RNA". It matches the Rfam family "Bacterial small subunit ribosomal RNA", at positions 524 to 776 of the family's 1533-position model. The record is from RNAcentral.
UACGUAGGGGGCGAGCGUUGUCCGGAAUCAUUGGGCGUAAAGAGCGUGUAGGUGGACUGGAAGGUCUGGUGUGAAAGCCCGGGGCUCAACCCCGGAGGGUCACUGGAAACCAACAGUCUUGAGUCCGAAAGAGGAGAGUGGAAUUCCUGGUGUAGCGGUGGAAUGCGCAGAUAUCAGGAGGAACACCAAUGGCGAAGGCAGCUCUCUGGUACGUGACUGACACUGAGACGCGAAAGCGUGGGGAGCGAACAGG